UCGCACCUACCGAUUGGAUGGUCCGGUGAGGAGUCGGGAUUGCGGCUUGGUUCCUUUAUUGGGAUCAGGCUGCGAGAACUUGUCCAAACCUUAUCAUUUAGAGGAAGGUG
This 110-nucleotide ribosomal RNA is filed under the name uncultured eukaryote. RNAcentral describes it as "partial small subunit ribosomal RNA". It matches the Rfam family "Eukaryotic small subunit ribosomal RNA", at positions 1676 to 1785 of the family's 1831-position model. The record is from RNAcentral.